RNAcentral lists this ribosomal RNA (253 nucleotides) under uncultured bacterium. RNAcentral's name for it is "partial 16S ribosomal RNA". It matches the Rfam family "Bacterial small subunit ribosomal RNA", at positions 524 to 776 of the family's 1533-position model. The record is from RNAcentral.
UACGUAGGGUGCAAGCGUUGUCCGGAAUUAUUGGGCGUAAAGAGCUCGUAGGCGGUUUGUCGCGUCUGCUGUGAAAACUCGGGGCUUAACUCCGGGACUGCAGUGGGUACGGGCAGACUAGAGUGCGGUAGGGGAGACUGGAAUUCCUGGUGUAGCGGUGAAAUGCGCAGAUAUCAGGAGGAACACCGGUGGCGAAGGCGGGUCGCUGGGCCGUAACUGACGCUGAGGAGCGAAAGCGUGGGGAGCGAACAGG